AGCUGCCUAAACCAUUGGUUUCGGGGAUCCUCCCUGCUUCUCCUCUGCUCAGCACUAGCUGCACAUAUGUGCUUUUCCUUGGUGGAAUAAGAAGACACCUCUGGACAAGCUGGCGAGUUCCCAGACCCAUUAACAGGUGUAAGCCACAGAAGCUGGACUCGGGCUGAAUAAGAAACAAGAAUAUUCAAAGGACGUCACAAGUCCUUUGGAGGACUGUAGACGCAGGUUAAACAUGAGCUCCCAGAAACAGUUCUCAAAUCCACGCUGCAGAAAUAGUCCGACUAGAAAACAGCUACCAGCACCACUGCCAACAGGCAGUAAUUAUGCAGUUUGAACCACUGCUGUGUCCAUGCCAGGACUUCUGCCUCACAGCCUUCACCUCCAGAGAAAGAGAGCAAGUCCACCAUCUGUAUUACUUCGCUGGUUCUCCAGAGAAAAUGAACCAAUAGGAGCUACAUACAGUUGACUGUUGAAGAACACAGGUUUGAACUGCAUGGGUUGGCAAGGUCAUCAGUGAUCUCUCUGACGCUCUCUCACCCCUACUGUGUUCCUGGUACAGGAAGGACAGUGAGCACACUUUACGGAACAGGUGGAGAUGAGGGAGUCUGGAUCCCACUGCUCCCUCCUUCCACUCUCCAGUCUUUAGCUAUUGGCUAAAGUCAACCAGAGACAGGGAAACCAUGCCGCGCUGUGCAGCAUGUGGGAUCUUAACGUGCUGACCAGGGACCAAACCUCUGCCUCUGCAUUGGGAGCACAGAGUCUUAACCACCGGACCACCAGGGAACUCCCUAGCAGUAGGUAUAUUUUAAUCACGCCACAGGAAGAGAACAGAAUGCCGGUGCUCACUGCAGCACUGCCCACAAUAGCCAAGGUUUGGAAGCAACUAAACGUCCUCCAGCAGAUGAACAGAUAAAGAAGACACCGUACCUGUACACAAAGGAAUGCCACUCAGCCAUUUAAAAAGGAGGAACAUUUUGCCAAUUUCAACAACACGGUUGGACUUGAAGGGCAUUACACUAAGAGAAACAAGCCAGGCAAUGAGGGGAAAAUAUUGUAUGGUAUCAUUUAUAUGUGGAAGCCCCCAAAAUACAACAAAGUAGUGACUGUAACAGAAAAGCAGACUUACAGAUAUGAAGAACAAACUGGUGGCUUACCAAUGGGUAUGUGGGGUGAAACAUAUGGGUGGGGGUGGGAUGUACAAGAUAUUCUCAAGGAUGUAUUGUGCAGCAUGGAGAAUAUAGCCAAUGUUAUCAUAACUGUAAAUGGAAAGUACUCUAAGUAUUCUAUAAAAAUAAAAAUUCAUUUUUAAAAUUA
Long non-coding RNA from Bubalus bubalis (water buffalo), 1314 nucleotides. RefSeq lists it as uncharacterized. NCBI's taxonomy places the organism in Eukaryota, Metazoa, Chordata, Mammalia, Artiodactyla, Bovidae. The transcript has 5 exons. The record is from RefSeq and is a predicted model, not a curated record.